Molecule: long non-coding RNA, 291 nt
Organism: Labrus mixtus (cuckoo wrasse)
Lineage: Eukaryota; Metazoa; Chordata; Actinopteri; Labriformes; Labridae
Exons: 4
Source: RefSeq, a predicted model, not a curated record
CUUGUCUUUUGACAGCGCUUCGCUCCUCUUCAGCUCCACCGUCGUAUUCAAACAUGGUCACCUCCGUCUCCAGCUCCUCCUCCAGCAUUAUAUUGAACAUCUCCUGCACAAAGUUGUUCUCAUGUAGCGCUCCUCCUCAGCUCCACCCUCUCCUCAAGUCACCUGUGGCUCCAGCGUCUCUUUGAUUCAUUCCCUCAGCGGACAGGUGGGAUCUAAAAAAGGAACAGGAGGUGAAAUCUAAAGAAGAGCCCUGAACAACAGAACAGAGGAGACAGGAAGCAGCACAGAGGA